RNAcentral lists this ribosomal RNA (477 nucleotides) under uncultured bacterium. RNAcentral's name for it is "partial 16S ribosomal RNA". It matches the Rfam family "Bacterial small subunit ribosomal RNA", at positions 28 to 507 of the family's 1533-position model. The record is from RNAcentral.
GAUGAACGCUGGCGGCAUGCCUAAUACAUGCAAGUCGAGCGAACAGACGAGGAGCUUGCUCCUCUGACGUUAGCGGCGGACGGGUGAGUAACACGUGGAUAACCUACCUAUAAGACUGGGAUAACUUCGGGAAACCGGAGCUAAUACCGGAUAACAUGUUGAACCGCAUGGUUCAACAGUGAAAGACGGUUUUGCUGUCGGUUAUGGAUGGAUCUGCGGCGUAUUAGCUAGUUGGUGAGGUAACGGAUUCCCAAGGCGACGACGGGUAGCCGACCUGAGAGGGUGACCGGCCACACGGGGACUGAGAAACGGGCCAGACUGCUACGGGAGGGAGCAGUGGGGAAUAGUGCACAAUGGGCGAAAGCCUGAUGCAGCAACGCAGCGUGAGGGACGACGGCCUUCGGGUUGUAAACAUCUUUUAGCAGGGAAGAAGCGAAAGUGACGGUACCUGCAGAAAAAGCACCGGCUAACUACGUG